Xenopus laevis (African clawed frog) is the source of this 394-nucleotide long non-coding RNA. RefSeq lists it as uncharacterized. The transcript has 3 exons. The record is from RefSeq and is a predicted model, not a curated record. Lineage: Eukaryota; Metazoa; Chordata; Amphibia; Anura; Pipidae.
CGUUGUGCCUGCAAUCCUUUGCCUUCUAGCACAGAUAACCAUGUCUGGAGUUAAGGGUCAGCAAAAGAAAUGCCCUGAUCCAUGCCCUCCACCACCAAAAUGUCAAGAUCCCUGCAAGGAUCCUUGCCAUAAGACAGUCCCACAGUGCCAAGACCCAUGCCAGAAGACUCACCAAAAGCAGGUCCAUAGCCAGGACCAUAUCCAGGACCAGAACCCACCCCAUCACUAAAGGACAUAAUGAGAUGAGAAUCUUCUCCCAGCUAUUGCCUUCUAUGGAUACAACAAGACAAUGAUCUGCUGGUGGCUGCAGCUUUCUACAAUCUAAAGAUGAUUUCACAACUUAAAAAUGAAAAUCCUUGAAAUUUACUAAUAAAUAAUUUAAUUUGAAAGGCCA